RNAcentral lists this unclassified non-coding RNA (357 nucleotides) under air metagenome. RNAcentral's name for it is "partial contains small subunit ribosomal RNA, internal transcribed spacer 1, and 5.8S ribosomal RNA". The stretch from base 1 to 46 matches the Rfam family "Eukaryotic small subunit ribosomal RNA", at positions 1786 to 1831 of the family's 1831-position model. The record is from RNAcentral.
AAGUCGUAACAAGGUUUCCGUAGGUGAACCUGCGGAAGGAUCAUUAUCGAUUCGAAAGGCUCUUGGAUUGUAGCUGGCCCUCCGGGGCAAUGUGCACGUCCUCGGUCGUUCUAUAUCACCCCUGUGCACCUCUGCGUGGGUUUCCAUCGGCCGUCGCCUUUGGAACGCAGCUGGGCAUCUCUCAGUCUCUCUCUCGCUUGGCCGAACGUCUUUAAGCCUCGCGGGUGUGUGCGGAGGGUUGCUCGAGCUGGCCCGCGUUUAUUAUCAACUUUUGUAUGUCUUAGAAUGUCUUCAGUGUGUGCGCGUAAAAAAUGCACAUCUUUAAUACAACUUUCAACAACGGAUCUCUUGGCUCUC